UUGGAAUGAUGGGAAUGUAAAACCCUUCCAGAGUAACAAUUGGAGGGCAAGUCUGGUGCCAGCAGCCGCGGUAAUUCCAGCUCCAAUAGUGUAUAUUAGAGUUGUUGCAGUUAAAAAGCUCGUAGUUGGAUUUCUGUCCCGGUGAGUGGGCGGCGCCCGUAUGGGUGUUUGCAUGCACUGACUGGGGCUUUCUUCCGGAAGCCUCCCGCGCUGCUUCGCUGGCGGUGGGGUUGGGGAGCUUUUUUUUUGAUAAAAAUAAAAUGUUGCUUCCAGGCUUGUCGCCCUGAAUACUGCAGCAUGGAGUAAUAAUAUAAGACCACCGGUCUUCUUUGUUGUUUUUUUUAA
RNAcentral lists this ribosomal RNA (345 nucleotides) under Eimeria sp. RNAcentral's name for it is "partial small subunit ribosomal RNA". It matches the Rfam family "Eukaryotic small subunit ribosomal RNA", at positions 509 to 856 of the family's 1831-position model. The record is from RNAcentral. Lineage: Eukaryota; Apicomplexa; Conoidasida; Eucoccidiorida; Eimeriidae.